Small nucleolar RNA from Osmerus eperlanus (European smelt), 74 nucleotides. RefSeq annotates it as small nucleolar RNA SNORD19. The record is from RefSeq and is a predicted model, not a curated record. The transcript has a single exon. NCBI's taxonomy places the organism in Eukaryota, Metazoa, Chordata, Actinopteri, Osmeriformes, Osmeridae.
UGGAAAUGAGGAUAACAAGUAAAGCACUGAGAACUUUUGGAGACUUCUAAUCCAACUCUGAUCCAAAUGCUGUA